UACUAACAGCAACUUAACUGAGUCAAACACAAUUCACUACUUGGAACUCUUCCAAUUCACUGCUUCUCUAGUACUUCUCAAGUACUUUGAGAAUACUUUUUACAAUUUUCCAAAGAUCUUAUCAUGGAUCUGCCUAAAAUCAAUGAUUAUGCACAAAGCAUAAAUUAUAUCAAGCAAGGUACAUUGAAUAUAUGGGUAAGUAAACUCCUUUACACCCAUUCAUGUUAAACACCUUCAACAUAAAAUCCAUGUACCUAGAUUGGG
This 264-nucleotide long non-coding RNA is filed under the name Elaeis guineensis (African oil palm). RNAcentral's name for it is "long non-coding RNA (EGUI_LNC066232)". Lineage: Eukaryota; Viridiplantae; Streptophyta; Magnoliopsida; Arecales; Arecaceae. The record is from RNAcentral.